RNAcentral lists this ribosomal RNA (1215 nucleotides) under uncultured Rhizaria. RNAcentral describes it as "SSU rRNA". It matches the Rfam family "Eukaryotic small subunit ribosomal RNA", at positions 577 to 1804 of the family's 1831-position model. The record is from RNAcentral.
CGGUAAUUCCAGCUCCAAUAGCGUAUAUUAAAAUGUGUUGCAGGUUAAAACGCUCGUAGUCGGAUUUCUGAAGCCGGCCUUCGGUCCUACCCAGUGUAGAAUACGCGGAGGUCUUGGUUUCAUUUGUUCAGGGAAGGUGUUUGCACUUUGUUGUGUGUCACGUGAUCUGAAUUUUUACUUUGAGGAAAUGAGAGUGUUCCAAGCAGGCUUUUGCCGUGAAUAUGAUAGCAUGGAAUAAUAGCAUAGGACCCCUUUCCAAAGCUGUUGGUUUUUGGAACAGAGGUAAUCAGAAUAAGGAUAGUUGGGGGUAUUCGUAUUUAACUGUCAGAGGUGAAAUUCUUGGAUUUUUUAAAGACGAACUAUUGCGAAGGCAUCUGCCCAGGAUGUUUUUGUUGAUCAAGAACGAAAGUUGGGGGAUCGAAGACGAUCAGAUACCGUCGUAGUCUCAACUAUAAACUAUACCAGCUAGGGAUCGGCCAACGUUUAAUUUAUCGACUUGGUCGGCACCUUAUGAGAAAUCAAAGCAUCUGGGUUCCGGGGGGAGUAUGGUCGCAAGGCUGAAACUUAAAGGAAUUGACGGAAGGGCACCACCAGCCGUGGAGCCUGUGGCUUAAUUUGACUCAACACGGGAAAACUUACCAGGUCCAGACAUAGGAAGGAUUGACAGAUUGAUAGCUCUUUCUUGAUUCUGUGGGUGGUGGUGCAUGGCCGUUUUUAGUCGGUGGAUGUGAUCUGUCUGCUUAAUUGCGUUAACGGACGAGACCCCAGCCUGCUAAAUAGCGCGGCCGAGCUUUGCUCGGUGCGAGCUUCUUAGAGGGACCAUGAUGCGCGAUAGCACAAGGAAGUUUGGGGCAACAACAGGUCUGUGAUGCCCUUAGAUGUUCUGGGCCGCACACGGGCUACACUGGCGCCUGCAACGAGCAUAUCAGCUGGCCCGAGAGGGUCUUGGCUAAUCUUUGGAACCGGCGCCGUGCUUGGGAUUGACCAUUGCAAUUGUUGGUCAUGCAACGAGGAAUGCCUUGUAAACGCGAGUCAUCAGCUCGCAUUGAAUACGUCCCUGCCCUUUGUACACACCGCCCGUCGCUCCUACCGAUGAAUGUUCCGAUGAAAUUUUCGGAGAGCGCCGGAGAACGGGGCUCCGCCCUGCAGAACUGGAGGCUCAAAGUCACUUAAAUCUGAACAUUUCGAGGAAGGAGAAGUCGUAACAAGGUAACC